GACGUAGGGCGCGAGCGUUGUCCGGAUUUAUUGGGCGUAAAGAGCUCGUAGGCGGCUUGUUGCGUCGACUGUGAAAACCCGCGGCUUAACUGCGGGCUUGCAGUUGAUACGGGCAGGCUAGAGUUCGGUAGGGGAGACUGGAAUUCCUGGUGUAGCGGUGGAAUGCGCAGAUAUCAGGAGGAACACCAAUGGCGAAGGCAGAUCUCUGGGCCGUAACUGACGCUGAGGAGCGAAAGCAUGGGGAGCGAACAGG
RNAcentral lists this ribosomal RNA (253 nucleotides) under uncultured bacterium. RNAcentral's name for it is "partial 16S ribosomal RNA". It matches the Rfam family "Bacterial small subunit ribosomal RNA", at positions 524 to 776 of the family's 1533-position model. The record is from RNAcentral.